This 931-nucleotide ribosomal RNA is filed under the name uncultured Anaerolineae bacterium. Its description in RNAcentral is "bacterial SSU rRNA". It matches the Rfam family "Bacterial small subunit ribosomal RNA", at positions 56 to 1009 of the family's 1533-position model. The record is from RNAcentral. Lineage: Bacteria; Bacillati; Chloroflexota; Anaerolineae.
UGCAAGUCGAACGGUCUCUUUCGGGAGAUAGUGGCGCACGGGUGAGUAACACGUGGUUGAUCCACCCUCAAGUAGGGGAUAACGUUCCGAAAGGAAUGCUAAUACCCUAUAAGCUCCCGAUGUUUAGAAGAUUGGGAGAAAAGUUCCGGCGCUUGAGGAGGAGACUGCGGGCCAUCAGCUAGUUGGUGUGGUAACGGCACACCAAGGCGACGACGGCUAGGGGACCUGAGAGGGUGGCCCCCCGCACUGGAACUGAGACACGGUCCAGACUCCUACGGGAGGCAGCAGUGAGGAAUAUUGCACAAUGGGCGCAAGCCUGAUGCAGCGACGCCGCGUGGGUGAUGAAGGCUUUCGGGUCGUAAAGCCCUUUUCUAGGUGACGAGAAUGGACGGUAGCCUAGGAAUAAGUGUCGGCUAACUACGUGCCAGCAGCCGCGGUAAAACGUAGGACACAAGCGUUAUCCGGAGUUACUGGGCGUAAAGGGCGUGUAGGCGGGGAUAUAAGUCUAUUCUGAAAGCUCCUGGCUAAACUGGGAGAGGCGAAUGGAGACUGUAUGCCUAGAGUGAGGAAGAGGAAAGUGGAAUUCCGCGUGUAGUGGUGAAAUGCGUAGAGAUGCGGAGGAACACCAGUGGCGAAAGCGACUUUCUGGUCCUUAACUGACGCUGAGGCGCGAAAGCAUGGGGAGCGAACGGGAUUAGAAACCCCGGUAGUCCAUGCCAUAAACGAUGUUCACUAAACGUUCGUUUCCCGCGAGGGAAGUGGGUGUUGAAGCUAACGCAGUAAGUGAACCGCCUGGGGAGUACGGUCGCAAGGCUAAAACUCAAAGGAAUUGACGGGGGACCGCACAAGCAGCGGAGCGUGUGGUUUAAUUCGAGGCUACACGAAGAACCUUACCUAGGUUUGACAUCUUACUGAAUACUGCGUGAAAGCG